Molecule: ribosomal RNA, 763 nt
Filed under: soil bacterium Gent-S2T-M1LLLSSL-3
Lineage: Bacteria
Description: bacterial SSU rRNA
Rfam family: Bacterial small subunit ribosomal RNA
Source: RNAcentral
CGAACGGGUGAGUAACACGUGAGUAACCUGCCCUUGACUCUGGGAUAAGCCUGGGAAACUGGGUCUAAUACCGGAUACGACCGAUCACCGCAUGGUGUGUUGGUGGAAAGCUUUUGCGGUUUUGGAUGGACUCGCGGCCUAUCAGCUUGUUGGUGGGGUAAUGGCCUACCAAGGCGACGACGGGUAGCCGGCCUGAGAGGGUGACCGGCCACACUGGGACUGAGACACGGCCCAGACUCCUACGGGAGGCAGCAGUGGGGAAUAUUGCACAAUGGGCGGAAGCCUGAUGCAGCGACGCCGCGUGAGGGAUGACGGCCUUCGGGUUGUAAACCUCUUUCAGUAGGGAAGAAGCGAAAGUGACGGUACCUGCAGAAGAAGCGCCGGCUAACUACGUGCCAGCAGCCGCGGUAAUACGUAGGGCGCAAGCGUUAUCCGGAAUUAUUGGGCGUAAAGAGCUCGUAGGCGGUUUGUCGCGUCUGCUGUGAAAGACCGGGGCUCAACUCCGGUUCUGCAGUGGGUACGGGCAGACUAGAGUGAUGUAGGGGAGACUGGAAUUCCUGGUGUAGCGGUGAAAUGCGCAGAUAUCAGGAGGAACACCGAUGGCGAAGGCAGGUCUCUGGGCAUUAACUGACGCUGAGGAGCGAAAGCAUGGGGAGCGAACAGGAUUAGAUACCCUGGUAGUCCAUGCCGUAAACGUUGGGCACUAGGUGUGGGGGACAUUCCACGUUUUCCGCGCCGUAGCUAACGCAUUAAGUGCCCCGCC